RNAcentral lists this ribosomal RNA (598 nucleotides) under uncultured bacterium. Its description in RNAcentral is "bacterial SSU rRNA". It matches the Rfam family "Bacterial small subunit ribosomal RNA", at positions 338 to 950 of the family's 1533-position model. The record is from RNAcentral.
CCUACGGGAGGCAGCAGUGGGGAAUCUUGCGCAAUGGGCGAAAGCCUGACGCAGCAACGCCGCGUGCGGGAAGAAGGCUUUCGGGCUGUAAACCGCUUUCAGCAGGAACGAAAAUGACGGUACCUGCAGAAGAAGGAGCGGCCAACUAUGUGCCAGCAGCCGCGGUGAUACAUAGGCUUCAAGCGUUGUCCGGAUUUAUUGGGCGUAAAGAGUUCGUAGGCGGUCGAGUAAGUCGGGUGUGAAAAUUCUGGGCUCAACCCAGAGACGCCACCCGAUACUGCUUGACUUGAGUUCGAUAGGGGAGUGGGGAAUUCCUAGUGUAGCGGUGAAAUGCGCAGAUAUUAGGAGGAACACCGGUGGCGAAGGCGCCACUCUGGAUCGAUACUGACGCUGAGGAACGAAAGCAUGGGUAGCAAACAGGAUUAGAUACCCUGGUAGUCCAUGCCGUAAACGGUGGGCACUAGGUGUGGGUUUCUAUUAACGAAAUCCGCGCCGUCGCUAACGCAUUAAGUGCCCCGCCUGGGGAGUACGGUCGCAAGACUAAAACCUCAAAGGAAUUGACGGCUGGAGACGNGCCGACGCGACGACGAGGAGUAGG